AUGCUAAUUUUCAGAAAAGGAAAAAAAAAAAAAAAAGGAAGGAGGGAGGGAGGGAAGGAGGGAGGGAAGGAGGGAGGGAAGGAAGAAAAAAAGAGAGAGAAAAAAAAUUAUGUUUGUUGGGAUAUUCACUCCACCCUUCUCUUCCCCUGCAGAAUUCUUCUGAUGGGCAGGUACCUCGCAAAAGGCUGGAGGUCUUCUGCCUCCUAACCCCACCUGAGUCCAUGAAUAUCCACGGAGAGGACUGGUGCCACUUAGUGAACAGUAUCACUAAUAUGGUUACUUGGACACGGAAAUCCUAAUGGCUUUAAGAUUUUUGUUAUGGACUUCAGGGUUUAAAAGCAAGAGCUGCAUUUGGCAUAAAUAAGCAAAGCAGCUCUGAUUUCUGCAGAGUUAUUUCAAUGAAGAUUAGGCAGGGAAAUGACCAAGUGGAGGGUAGGCUGGCAGCACAGGAAUAGAAGCUGGGGUAGAGGAUGACAUUUAACUUUUAAGGCUGCAUUUGUAAAGGUCAGGUCUCUAGAUGCCUGUACAUUACAUCACACUGGUCAAGUUAUUUCACAAUUGCCUGGAUAAAGUCAGAUGUUUAUUGCAAGUUAGAUAGUAAUCAUCUACUUGGGAAAGCUUGCUAGCAGCUGAUAAGUCUCUUAUAAAAGUAAGAUUGCAGCUGUGUUUCUCUCUCUUCCCUCUUCCUCCCUGCCUUCAACUCCACAAGGAUCCAUGUGAAUUUAGUGUUAAGGAAAGGUACAGACCUAAACCUUCAGUGAAUUCACCACUAGAGCAAAGAGUAUCACAGUAAAAGCUGGACAGCUUGUUGAGGAUACCUUCUUGACGCUUCCUGUGAUGCCACAACACAUCCAUAUCUGCAAACAAGAAAACCUUCUGCUAUUUAAACUUCUUGCUGCCAAACACAACACCGGAGCCUGGCCACUUUUGCCGCUGUUCAUUCACACGCAAGGCUACAUUUACGCACACAUUUACCAUUGAACAGGUGUUUACAGUCAAUUGACUUCACUGCUUACAAUGUCCACACAUUUGCAAUCAGGAACACUUUAGUUUUUGUGGCAUUGAGCAGAAGUAGGUGUCUUUGUGCUGAAUAUUUGCACACUUCAUGCUAGAUAGAUUCUACCCAGCAAAGAAGCGCUCCGAAGGCUUUCCUAUCGACCCCCAAAGACAUUAAACAGAAGGCAGUGACAUGGCAGAGAUUAGAGUG
This 1207-nucleotide long non-coding RNA is filed under the name Anser cygnoides (Swan goose). RNAcentral's name for it is "lncRNA (ENSACDG00005006410.1)". The record is from RNAcentral. Lineage: Eukaryota; Metazoa; Chordata; Aves; Anseriformes; Anatidae.